Molecule: long non-coding RNA, 896 nt
Filed under: Marmota monax (woodchuck)
Lineage: Eukaryota; Metazoa; Chordata; Mammalia; Rodentia; Sciuridae
Source: RNAcentral
GGAAAAAGGCAUUUGAUAUUAAAGUAAUUUUAAUGAAUGGAUUCAGAGUCUGACAAUAGAUGUCAACAAAAAAAAAAAAAAAAAAGGAAGGGGGUAGGUUAUACUGACCCCUCAUAAGCAGAGGUAAAAAGAUUUUUUAUAUCAUAUGACACGUGGAUCACUCUUUCCUAGUAUACUUCAAUAUUACCAAUAGUUUAGGAGAUUCCAGAAGCAAUGUAACUGCAAAUAUAUUUUGUUAAAAAACAUUUAUAACUUUCAUCAUCAAAUUUACACAGCAAAUAAUUUUGUAUACCCAUAAUUAUAAUAGUUCAAGCCUUCCUAGCUUACCAUAUAUCCUUAACACAUUGUUUUCUCACUAUUCUUGUAGAAAUGAGCUUCAACUAAUUACUAAAUAUAGUCAGAAUACGUUUUUAAUGUAGUAAAAGAUAUGUUGUAAUUAUGCAUUCUGUUUCAUAUAUAUUUAUGUGUAGAAUGAUUUUAGAGAAAUAUCUUGUUCACUUGUUAAAAUAUUACUGAACUAUGUUUAAUAUCAACUUAACAUUUCAUUUACCAAAUACUUGGUUUUAUUAGACCUAUUCAUUUCAUGACAUCACCUCAGUUUUUUAUACUUCUGGUUUUCCAGAUUAUUCUAUUUCUCUAUAGCAUGGAGAAAUACAUUGGAAAAUAUAUGCAAUAAUCAUGUAUGUGUAUGUUGAAGUGGGCUACAUGUCAUGGAAGACUGUUUUUCUUGUGGUCUAGUCUUUUCUUUUUCAUUAACCAAGGACAUAGAACUAAUAUACUCUCCUUGACUUCUGUAAAAGCAACCUUAUUUUUGCUUCUCCCAUUAAAAGGAAAAUAAAGCAUAGUAAUUCCUACUUUAUAUCUUUUAAGUAAUUAUUUUUAUAAAUUUAUUUUUA